Molecule: non-coding RNA, 517 nt
Organism: Danio rerio (zebrafish)
Lineage: Eukaryota; Metazoa; Chordata; Actinopteri; Cypriniformes; Danionidae
Source: Ensembl
AGAAGUACACUGGUCGCUGAAGGAGGAACUGCCGAGGCUGAAAACAAUCAUGUUGGCUGUUCUGUUGACCGCUUUAAUGUUUAGUCAAGGGCUUUCAAUGGACAGCCGUGGGACGAGUUUCAUCACAGCAUUCCCCGAGAACGUUGCCUUUUAUUUUCAAAAGACCUAUAACCUAUUGAAAAUCACCACCCUUCACCCAAACACGGCUGUCAGUGUCAUUGAAAUGGCGAGUGGCAACAUCACCAAUUCAGCCGCUGGCAACAACGGAACCAUUUUGACUUUGAAUUUCUCAAAGGAUGCUGAAGAAUACCAGUUUGCAUUCUCCAAUAAGUCUAUUCGAAUCACCAGCGAUAAAAACAUCACAGUGCUUUCUAUGAGUGGAUGGGAGGGUCGAUUUCAGUCCCGUGUUGUUCAGCCUGAUCAAAACCUCAGAACGGUGUAUCAGAUCCCUGCUCUAAACUACACCAAGAUUGCUGCAUCCUUUAACCUUUCAGUGGCAUCAAAUGUCACGUUUCUC